RNAcentral lists this long non-coding RNA (605 nucleotides) under Hordeum vulgare. RNAcentral's name for it is "long non-coding RNA (HVUL_LNC012521)". The record is from RNAcentral. Lineage: Eukaryota; Viridiplantae; Streptophyta; Magnoliopsida; Poales; Poaceae.
GGCUCCCUACCCCGCCAGCUUCAUGCUCUCCCAGCUCGCCGGCAGCUACGCUUUCGUGCUCUUCGACAAGUCCACAUCCUCCCUCUUCGUCGCAUCCGUAAGCUCGAUCAUGUCUAGGAAUACAUUUCUACAGUAGCAGGGAGGUUUAUCGUGGCCGUGCUUAUUUCUUGCUAAUUUUGUUGGUCGAUCAGGACCCGGAGGGCAAGGUACAGCUCUUCUGGGGAAUCACCGCCGACGGCUGCGUCGCCUUCUCCGACGACAUCGACCUGCUGAAAGGAUCUUGCGGCAAAUCACUGGCGCCUUUCCCGCAAGGCUGCUUCUACUGGAACGCCCUUGGAGGCCUCAAGUCGUACGAGAAUCCCAAGAACAAGGUGACCGCUGUGCCUGCAGAUGAGGAGGAAAUCUGUGGUACAACCUUCAUGGUAAGUAGUGGCACGUUGAUGAUUAUUACUUACUACUCAGCUGGGAAGGAAUGAAAAUGAUAGUCACGAGAACUUGGCUAAACCUAUCUGAAAUUCUUCCUUGUGCAGGUGGAAGGAUCUACCGUUCUCGCGGCACUUCAGUAGGAGAUUCUCUCGUCUCCGUCGCUGGGCAAAGCAGGCAAC